CGCUCAACACCGGUUGAAUAGGGCUGGUGUCAGCAAACAACGGCAAAAAAAAGCUUAAUUCAAUUGUUGCCAGCAGCACAGUUCUAGUCACCAACGCUCUGGAUAACAUGAAAAACGCAUAACCAGCUCUGCUAGAGCAAGUAAAAUGGCCAGAGUGCGGUGUUAUCUAUUUAUCCAGUUAAUUUGGGUGCCGUUGAGGUCACUCCUACUCCUCGGCCAGAGCCUCCAGCAUGCGCUCCCACAGCGAAAAGCUCUGAAUUUACUAAAGGGCAAUAUGACAGUUAAAUAAUAUACAAAAAUUCUGAUUUUACAUACGCCCUCCAGAGUGCAAUACGAACGCACCCAAUAAUGGACACUGCUGGCCUGCAGUGCAAACCGAUAGGCUAUUUAAUUUCAGAAUUGGUUAGAAUUAGGUUAAGGGUCAGAUUUAGAUUAUAUUGGCUCAUUGUUUUCAGGUCAGUAUGUACCCACACUUUUCUGCGAGUGUGUCUUUUUAAAAUCCUCAUCAAUCAGCAGACAAUCUUUCUACAUGAUUACCUGAUUGGUCAAUCUACACCCACGCCAAGGAAGUGCAAACAGAGGUCUUCCGGUCACUGUUUGGUUUGAAUCGAAGAAGAAUGUCAGUAAGGAGGAUAUUAGAGGCAGUUUAGUCAACAAGAUGAAGAUCAAACAACGUUCAAAAACUACGCCACUGCACAAAAAAACCAUGGGGACUAAACGCCAUGGAAACCUGGGUAUAACACAAACAGAACAUGACCCACAGUCAGGAGAUGACUCCACCGGCAGAGAUGAAUCAGAUUGUACCCAAGCACUCUCAAAGAGCACCAGUUCAAAUCAUCAUUCAGAUUCUAGUCCACUCCACAAGGAUCCUGUGGUAGUGCUAACCAGGUUGGCUGAGGUGGUGGUUAAGACACUUCUGAGAGACAUUAAAGUUUGUUUGGUGAAGGAGGUGACGGCUGUCAGGAGGGAUGAAGAAAACCAUGGAGGUUCUCCUCAGUUCUUUCCUUGUCCACACUGCACCAUCUCCUUUACUGACUGUUACUUCCUGGAGAACCACAUCAAGACCAAACACCAGAAGCAGUACCUGGCCAUGUUGAGAAGCCAAGUCUCAAAGAGUAAAAGAGUGUAUGGCCCCACACACCGCUGUCCCCACUGUAGCUGCAUGUUCCAUACACCACGACAGCUAGACAUUCAUACCCGCCAGGCCCACCCCUCUGCCCGUCCCCAGAAACCUGCCCCUCCCAGGAGAACUGGCCGUCCCCACAGGGUUCAGGAGAAAUUCCACACCUGCCCACAGUGCUCCCGCAGAUUCAAGUACCUGGGCAGCCUGCUGAAGCACUGCAAGAGUUUGCACAAAAUGGCCGUUGUUCUCACCAAUGGACACAUCAGUUGCGCAGACUGUGAGAAGAGCUUUGAGAAUUGCUGGGGCCUGGGGCCUCACCGGUGUCACGAACCAGAGGGCAAUAGACCUAAGGACGCUAAACAGAUGGUCAUUAAGGAAGUCGGCUUCCAAUGCUUAGAUUGUGGCAAGAUUCUCACUACUCCUACGAGCCUGAACACUCACAUGCGCAUCCACACUGGAGAAAAGCCUUAUGUCUGCAAGGAGUGUGGCAAGCGCUUCUCAGGUACAGGCGCUUACCGUUAUCACUUGUUAAUACACAAUGGGGUUAAGCCAUUCAAAUGUCAGGACUGUGGGAAGGCUUUCAAGCAGAAGUACCUCCUCAGGAAGCACAUGACUGUUCACUCUGGUGAGAGGAAGUACUCCUGCUCCCAAUGUGACAGGCAGUUUGCAUACAGGGAGAGUCUGAAGCUUCACCUGCGCACACACUCCGGGGCGAGACCUUUCAAAUGUACUGUCUGUGGUAAAGACUUUGCUGACAAAGGUUAUCUGAAGAUGCAUCUGAAGAUUCACAACAACCAGAAAAACUACCAUUGUGGGGUUUGUGGGCAGAAAUUCAUAAGGAUUGGGGUGCUGAACGUACACCUGCGCUCACACACAGGUGAGAGGCCUUACCACUGCACAGUGUGUGACAAGCAGUUUGCCCGACUCGACCACCUGAAGAACCACCAGCGCACUCACACAGGUGAGAAACCAUACACCUGUACCGAGUGCAAUAAAAGCUUCACUCAGUCUGGAGAUCUAACUAAACACAGGCGCCUCCACACUGGGGAGAGGCCAUUUGAAUGUUCUGAAUGCCACAAACGCUUUAUCUGCUCUGCUUCUCUGACCCUGCACAUGAGGACCCACACUCACCGUGACGUAAAGCCAUACUCCUGCCAAGAGUGUGGGAAAAGCUUUUAUGAACAGAGUCAUGUGAACGGCCACAUGAAAAUCCACAAUGGGAAACGUUAUUCCUGCCCCCACUGCUUUCUCAGCUUUGCUCGCAAGUCCAACCUCUCCAAACACCUGCUUAGACGUCAUAAACCUAAAUGAUAAUGAUGUAUAUUAAAAUAGCACCUUUUAUGAAACUCUGUUACUCUUAUGAAUUAAAUGGAGGGGAGUCUGAUCUCUUUUGUCCGUGAUCUAUGUGUGACAUCAAAUUCUAACUCAAUUUUGCCCCAUGUUUAUGAUAACGCUGCAAUGUUUUAACAAUCCUCCAGUAUGGUCACAGUGAGCUCCAUGUAUUGGGACAGUGACACGUUUUGUUUCUCCUGCAGCGCUUUGGAUUUGAAAUUAUACAACGAUUGAGGUUAAAGUGCAGACUCCGCUUUAAUUUGAGGGUAUUUUCAUCCAUAUCGGGUGAACCGCUCAAAGAACAGGUUUUUUUGUACAUAUUCCCCCCCUCAUUUUUAAGGGAAUGGUUACAUUAUUUGGUCCCAUAUUCCCAGCAUGCAAUGCUUACAUUAAGCUUGACUGGAUGCGUUUGCUGUUUGUUUUGGUUGUGUGUCAGGGUAUUUUGUGCUCAAUAGAAAUUCAUGGUAAAUAAUGUAUUGUCACUUUUAUUAUAAAUUAGAAUAGUGUGGUCUUCUAUAUUAGUGGCUACCAUGAUUACGGAUAAAACUGAAUGAAUUGUGAUUAAUGAGUGAAAGUAAGAGGCAUAAAUAUCAUACCCCUUCAAAAUACUAACCUCCCCUGUCAUUGUAAUGGUAAGAUGUUAGCAUGUCUUGGGGGUUUGAUACUUGUGCGUCUGUACUCUUGCUUUCUCACUCAUUAUUCAGGACUAUCCGUAAUCAUUGUAGCAUCAAACAAGUUUGUAGAGUAACAACCUUGUUGUAAUCAUUAUGUGCUAGGGCGAUGGGACCAAAUACUACACUUUUGACUACUUUUACCACCCAAGGAAUUUGUACCAAUUUUUCAAGCCCCCCCCCCCCAUUUUAGGGGAUUAUGUUCAAGAAGUGUAAUUUCUAAACUGUUCAUAUGGAUAAAAAUACUAAUUAAAGCUGACUGUCUACACUUUAACCUAAUAAUCAUUGUAUCAUUUCAAAUACAACGUCUGGAGGUACAGAGCCAAAAGAACAAAACAUAAUUCACUGUCCCAAUACUUUUGGAGCUCUUUUGUUAAUAUUAUUGCUCUUUUGUUUUAUGGAUGUUUGUGUUUAACCAGUUCAAUGUGAGCUACAUAAUCCCCAAAAGUAGUUAUCAUGAGGGCCAUAAAUGAUAACUAGUAAUGUUUCAUACUCAAAUGUAUAAAUAAAUUUGAUUUGAUUUAAAAAUCUCACUUCCGGUAAAAAAUAGGUAUAGAUUGUUGAGGUCACUAUAAAGGAUACUAGCUCAAGUACACACAGUACAAAUGAUGAUACAAUUUUGUCAAAUAGAAUUGUAUGAAUGGGGCUUUGAAGUGUUUAUUCUUUCUAAAUAUUGCUUAAAUUAUAAAAUGACACUAAGAUAUCAUCUUCCUUAACUUUAAAUUACAUAUUUGUUUAGUGUUAGAGAAUUCAUAUAUUCUGGAUGUUUCUCUUGUUCACAAUGUCUGACCCCCAUCGCUGUAAACAUCUCAGAGCUCUAGCUUGACUAUAUUCACUUUUUAGGAACACUCCUUUCAUCCUUAAUCAAUCUCUAAAUGUGCUACUGUAAUGAAACCACUCUCCUGCUGCGCUAUGAUGUAAGGAUUCAGGCAUGUGCUUUGUCAGUAGCUGUGAUUAUAGGGUUCAGCCAGGAGUUGGACAGUUGGAAUAGUGAUUGAAAUGGUAGAAGGGACAUCCCAGCUUCAAGUGGUGUUAGAUUUCACAUCCUACAUCACGCAGGGUUGGAACCGGUACCAGAACCACACAGGUCCCCCAAACAAGGGACCUUAUUUCUAAGAGGUUAUAAACACCAGUUUAUUCCAUUUUAUUUGUUCGGAUGGUUUUAUGACUGAUUGUCCUGAUGAUCAGUAGGCGAUAAAUUCUGAAAGAUUGUCAGUUUUCUUUGCUUUGUGUUUGUAGUGUAUUCCUUGAUUUGGAACAAGAGGAUAAUUUAUUUAAAGGUAACUCUGAUACUAUUGUUAUAAACAUGCCAUUUAAUUAAAGUUAAUUACAUAGACCACA
This is an RNA transcript of Oncorhynchus gorbuscha (pink salmon), 4467 nucleotides long. It is a transcript of the gene named gastrula zinc finger protein XlCGF57.1-like, with no coding region annotated. The record is from RefSeq and is a predicted model, not a curated record. NCBI's taxonomy places the organism in Eukaryota, Metazoa, Chordata, Actinopteri, Salmoniformes, Salmonidae. The transcript has 5 exons.